RNAcentral lists this ribosomal RNA (403 nucleotides) under Acanthamoeba sp. Its description in RNAcentral is "SSU rRNA". The stretch from base 1 to 337 matches the Rfam family "Eukaryotic small subunit ribosomal RNA", at positions 789 to 1113 of the family's 1831-position model. Lineage: Eukaryota; Discosea; Longamoebia; Acanthamoebidae. The record is from RNAcentral.
CUGCCACCGAAUACAUUAGCAUGGGAUAAUGGAAUAGGACCCUGUCCUCCUAUCUUCAGUUGGUUAACUUGUAGAGGAUCCGGGUAAUGAUUAAUAGGGAUAGUUGGGGGCAUUAAUAUUUAAUUGUCAGAGGUGAAAUUCUUGGAUUUAUGAAAAAUUAACUUCUGCGAAAGCAUCUGCCAAGGAUGUUUUCUUUAAUCAAGAACGAAAGUUAGGGGAUCGAAAACAAUCACAUACCGUCGUAGUCUUAACCAUAAACGAUGCCGACCACCGAUUAGGAGACGUUGAAUACAAAACACCACCAUGUAUAAUUCAGUAUAUGGCCAGUCAAAUGGUUGUAUAUUGUUUGUGUAUGGCACCGGUGAAUGACUCCCUAGCAGCUUGUGAGAACAGCUUGUGAAAA